Molecule: ribosomal RNA, 580 nt
Filed under: Ceroplastes ficus
Lineage: Eukaryota; Metazoa; Arthropoda; Insecta; Hemiptera; Coccidae
Description: SSU rRNA
Rfam family: Eukaryotic small subunit ribosomal RNA
Source: RNAcentral
AGUCAUAUGCUUGUCUCAAAGAUUAAGCCAUGCAUGUCUAAGUACAAGCUGUCUCGUACAGUGAAACUGCGAAAGGCUCAUUAAAUCAGUUAUGGUUCCUUAGAUCGUACCCACGUUACAUGGAUAACUGUGGUAAUUCUAGAGCUAAUACAUGCCGACAGAGCUCCGACCAGCGCGUCGUCGUUCGGCGGUUCGCCCGUCGUCGGCGGCCGUUCGGAAGGAGCGCUUUUAUUAGAUCAAAACCGGCCAAGCGUUCGGAUUGCGCUUCGCGCGCACUUCCGGACGUAAGUGGCCCGCGCAAAGACUUGACGACUCUGAAUAACUUCGAGCUGAUCGCACGGUCCUCGUACCGGCGACGUAUCUUUCAAAUGUCUGCCUUAUCAACUGUCGACGGUAGGUUCUACGCCUACCGUGGUGGUAACGGGUAACGGGGAAUCAGGGUUCGAUUCCGGAGAGGGAGCCUGAGAAACGGCUACCACAUCCAAGGAAGGCAGCAGGCACGAAAAUUAUCCAUUCAGGACUCCUGGAGAUAGUGACGAAAAAUAACGAUACGGGACUCAUCCGAGGCCCCGUAAUCGGA